This 955-nucleotide unclassified non-coding RNA is filed under the name Hevea brasiliensis (rubber tree). The record is from RNAcentral. Lineage: Eukaryota; Viridiplantae; Streptophyta; Magnoliopsida; Malpighiales; Euphorbiaceae.
CUCCAUUAACAUCAAGAGAAUAAUCUCCGUAUAACCAAGACUCUUUAAUGAUUACAUUGUAGACAAAAAUGUGUUCAUAAGCUCUGAAGUUACAAGCACAAGAGCAAGGGACUCUCAGUUUGUUCGAUUACAUAUGUUGUGGACUACAUUAACAACUGAUAGAAACUUAUAAAGUACAUAUACAUGGAGAAAAUGAGUAAGGAAAGCUUGGAUCAGAACUCUCCUUCCUGUAUCAACUUUUGCAUACACACUGUUUAUCUGCCAUGGUGCACGGUGAUACUACGAGCACAAUGCAGCACCUGGAUCCUUGUUGGUUUCUCACAUCUUAGAGUGCAAGUCAGGUUUUCUGCUCGAUUGAGGAAUGCUACUUCCUACAGCAUGUCUUUGCUUGUGGAACUUCUCUUUAGCUUUGAAGAGGAUCACAUGUACCUCUUGGAAAUGAGGUUCCAUGGCAUUCUUUGUGUCAUCAAUCCACUUCAAAACUCUCUUGUAUGGGCCUAUUAUCCGCUCACGAUCCUUCUCAUCCAAAAUCUCAAGUUCCAUAAUCUCACACACUAAGCUAAGAUCUGCAAUUGAAGGUUGGCCACUCCCAAGCAAAAACCGUCCUUUUCUCUGGAGCCAAACAGACUCGACUUUUGCAAGAGAUGCCAAAAGGACUUUCUCAGCUUCUGCUGCUGCUUGUGGAUUCAAUGGCAGCCCAAAAGCAGGAGCAAGAACAGUAUUAAAGAUAUAUCCAGCUGCACCGCGACGCAAGUUUGAGUGAUGCCAGUCCAACACAGAGUCUACCUUUGCUCUUUUGUAUAAGUCAGCAGGGUACCAAUGAUCUGCUAUUCCUGGAAAUGCACAAGCCAGAUAUCUAAGAAUUGCAUGACUUUCGAAAAGCUUAAAUCUUCCAUCAAUUAUAGCUGGUACUUGCUUCAUGGGAUUAAUUUCUUUAAAUUCAGGAGAUAACUGC